Molecule: ribosomal RNA, 253 nt
Filed under: uncultured bacterium
Lineage: Bacteria
Description: partial 16S ribosomal RNA
Rfam family: Bacterial small subunit ribosomal RNA
Source: RNAcentral
UACGAAGGGGGCUAGCGUUGCUCGGAAUCACUGGGCGUAAAGCGCACGUAGGCGGAUCUUUAAGUCAGAGGUGAAAUCCCAAGGCUCAACCUUGGAACUGCCUUUGAUACUGGGGAUCUCGAGUCCGGAAGAGGUGAGUGGAACUGCGAGUGUAGAGGUGAAAUUCGUAGAUAUUAGGAAGAACACCAGUGGCGAAGGCGGCUCACUGGUCCGGUACUGACGCUGAGGUGCGAAAGCGUGGGGAGCAAACAGG